This 497-nucleotide ribosomal RNA is filed under the name uncultured bacterium. Its description in RNAcentral is "partial 16S ribosomal RNA". It matches the Rfam family "Bacterial small subunit ribosomal RNA", at positions 28 to 507 of the family's 1533-position model. The record is from RNAcentral.
GAUGAACGCUGGCGGCGUGCCUAAUACAUGCAAGUCGAGCGAACAGACGAGGAGCUUGCUCCUCUGACGUUAGCGGCGGACGGGUGAGUAACACGUGGAUAACCUACCUAUAAGACUGGGAUAACUUCGGGAAACCGGAGCUAAUACCGGAUAAUAUAUUGAACCGCAUGGUUCAAUAGUGAAAGACGGUUUUGCUGUCACUUAUAGCUGGAUACGCGCCGCAUUAGCUAGUUGGUAAGGUAACGGCUUACCAAGGCAACGAUGCGUAGCCGACCGGAGAGGGGGAUCGGCCACACUGGAACUGAGACACGGUCCAGACUCCUACGGGAGGCAGCAGUAGGGAAUCUUCCGCAAUGGGCGAAAGCCUGACGGAGCAACGCCGCGUGAGUGAUGAAGGUCUUCGGAUCGUAAAACUCUGUUAUUAGGGAAGAACAAAUGUGUAAGUAACUAUGCACGUCUUGACGGUACCUAAUCAGAAAGCCACGGCUAACUACGUG